RNAcentral lists this ribosomal RNA (335 nucleotides) under uncultured Pseudomonas sp. RNAcentral describes it as "bacterial SSU rRNA". It matches the Rfam family "Bacterial small subunit ribosomal RNA", at positions 1050 to 1382 of the family's 1533-position model. The record is from RNAcentral. Lineage: Bacteria; Pseudomonadati; Pseudomonadota; Gammaproteobacteria; Pseudomonadales; Pseudomonadaceae.
UGUCGUCAGCUCGUCGUCGUGAGAUGUUGGGUUAAGGUCCGUAACGAGCGCAACCCUGUCCUUAGUUACCAGCACGUAUGGUGGGCACUCUAAGGAGGACUGCCGGUGACAAACCGGAGGGAAGGUGGGGAGUGACGUCAAGUCAUCAUGGCCCUUACGGCCUGGGCUACACACGUGCUACAAUGGUCGGUACAAAGGGUUGCCAAGCCGCGAGGUGGAGCUAAUCCCAUAAAACCGAUCGUAGUCCGGAUCGCAGUCUGCAACUCGACUGCGUGAAGUCGGAAUCGCUAGUAAUCGUGAAUCAGAAUGUCACGGUGAAUACGUUCCCGGGCCUU